UGGGGAAUAUUGGACAAUGGGCGAAAGCCUGAUCCAGCCAUGCCGCGUGAGUGACGAAGGCCUUAGGGUUGUAAAACUCUUUCGUCGGGGACGAUAAUGACGGUACCCGAAGAAGAAGCUCCGGCUAACUUCGUGCCAGCAGCCGCGGUAAUACGAAGGGAGCUAGCGUUGUUCGGAAUCACUGGGCGUAAAGCGCACGUAGGCGGAUAGUUAAGUCAGGGGUGAAAUCCUGGGGCUCAACCCCAGAACUGCCUUUGAUACUGGCUGGUCUCGAGGUCGAGAGAGGUUGGUGGAAUUCCUAGUGUAGAGGUGAAAUUCGUAGAUAUUAGGAAGAACACCAGUGGCGAAGGCGGCCAACUGGCUCGAUACUGACGCUGAGGUGCGAAAGCGUGGGGAGCAAACAGGAUUAGAUACCCACGUAGUCCCUGAG
RNAcentral lists this ribosomal RNA (430 nucleotides) under uncultured bacterium. RNAcentral's name for it is "bacterial SSU rRNA". It matches the Rfam family "Bacterial small subunit ribosomal RNA", at positions 355 to 801 of the family's 1533-position model. The record is from RNAcentral.